Phoenix dactylifera (date palm) is the source of this 1946-nucleotide non-coding RNA. NCBI's taxonomy places the organism in Eukaryota, Viridiplantae, Streptophyta, Magnoliopsida, Arecales, Arecaceae. The record is from RefSeq and is a predicted model, not a curated record.
UCCUAUUCUCGCCCAGAGCUCGAGUACUUGAAGCUCUCAUACCCUUCUGCUCUUCCCUUCGUAUCCGACGCCGAGGAAAUAUGAGCAGGCGAGCCAGCCGAACCCUCUAUGUAGGAAAUUUGCCGGAAGAUAUUCGCGAGAGAGAGGUUGAAGAUCUGUUUUACAAGUAUGGACCCAUUGUUGACAUUGAUCUGAAGAUUCCUCCAAGGCCUCCAGGUUAUGCAUUCGUUGAGUUUGAAGAUGCUCGUGAUGCUGGAGAUGCUAUUCGCGGUCGUGAUGGUUAUAAGUUUGAUGGUCAUAGAUUACGGGUGGAAUUUGCACAUGGUGGAAGAGGCUAUUCUUCUUCCAUGGACCGCUACAGCAGUUACAGCAGCAGCAGUAGUCGUAGUGGUGUCUUGAGGCGCUCUGAAUAUCGCGUGCUGGUUACUGGUUUACCUUCUUCUGCCUCAUGGCAAGACCUGAAGGACCACAUGCGUCGUGCUGGUGAUGUUUGUUUCUCUGAAGUGUUUCGUGAUGGUCGAGGCACUACAGGCAUUGUAGAUUAUACAAACUAUGAUGACAUGAAAUAUGCGGUCAGGAAACUUGAUGACUCUGAGUUUCGGAAUGCAUUUUCUCGGGCAUAUAUAAGGGUAAGAGAAUAUGACUCGAGGCGAAGCCUAUCUAGGAGCCGCAGCCGUUCCAAUUCCAGAAGCCGAAGCCCUAGCUGCAGUCGCAGUUACAGCCGAAGCAGGAGCCGCAGCCAAAGCGAGUCUCCGAGAGGCAGGUCAGCAUCUCGCACAUUUUCCAGAUCUCGAUCAAGAUCUGCUUCAUCUCACUCUCGUUCAGGAUCAAAGGGAUGCUCUCUAUCAGGAUAUGAGCUUAUGGGGUGAUGGGAUUGCGUAGUAGGGACUUGAUGGGAUACUGUCCAAGUGCCUACAAUCUUUUGGUUGGUGAGGUAUUCUGUUCUACAAAAUAAGGUCUUGGAAACCUGACUUGAUUUUAUACCAUAUGUGGCAUGUGGCUUAUAGCUAAUAGCCAUCAGAGUAGAGUGGGACUGAAUGGAUGGGUUGUGAUUUAGAGCCGGAAUCCUCAGAACUAAGUGGAAUGGGAGCCACCAAACAGCGCUAGAAAGAUAUUCAUCAUUUCUUCUCCAAGAUGACCAUGCUAUUAGGAGUUGCACUCGGGAGUUUGGAUAUGGAUUUUGGUGGUACAGAUAGAGAAGUACUUCUUCAUUCCUUGAAUCCUACAUGUCGAUUCUGUUGUUUUAUCCAUAUGUUUUUGCUUUGUCUGGUAGCUAGCAGUUCUAUUAUAGUGUUCCUUCAUUGUGGCUGCCAUUUUCCAUGUCCUAUCCCUUGUAGUUUCUCCAUUUUGCAUUACAAUGAUUUAAAGAAUGAUCGAUGGAUUUAUUUUUUCUUAUGCUGCUAAAGUUAAAUUGAGUUUUUCUUCUUUCAAUAUGGUACUCUGACGUGGAAGAGGCAAGGCUUUUGGAUCAAGUUGAAAAAGCAACAUAGUGGAUAUUGUGGAUAUUGAAUUCAGUUGUUUCUGGAACUUUUGCAGAUCACAAUCAAGAUCCAGAUCACCAAUUGCUUCUCCCCCCUGGAACAAUCAAGUGAGCAGAAGCGCAAGGAAGCGGAGUCCUGGCAGGAGCAGGAGCUUAUCGUCACAUUCUCUCUCUCCGAUGUCCAAUCACAGCUGAUCUGUUGAUUCAAGUGAAUGUUUGAGAAGGAAGUGUUACUGCCCGAGCUUGUGUGGGCGUAAAAUUUUACAAAAGACACUAAAUUCUCAGGCAUUUGGUUAUGCUGUGAGAAAUGAUCUUAAAUGUUAACGAUGCUGAGAGUUGAUAUCAGGGCAUAAUGUUGUCUAUUUCAUAAAUAUGCAACUUUUCUUUGUACCAAAAAAAAUAUGCGACUUUUCUGUGCACUGGAUAAUUUAAUCGGGUAUUGAUCUUGUAGUUGGUGUGAUACUUA